GAUAAUAUACGUCAUACUAACUUAACUACGAAAUAUAACAAUGAACUAAAAUUAAAAACAUACAAAACUUAUAAGACCAAAGGCUCCUGAAUUGGGACAGGCGCACAAACGCGGCGGGGUAAACAUGUUUCGUGCGAUCACAACCCUUCCCCUAUACAUCUAGUAAAUGUAGAAAAAAACAAACCCACAGCAAUACACACAGUUAAACGCACUUUAAAAUAAAUCCAAGUCCCAGGUCAGAAAAGGAAACAAAAGAAAUCAAAAUGACAAUGACAAUAAAUUAACAAAGUACAGUACUAUAUAUAAAGCUAGCAGUUACUGACAAAUGCCAGCUCCAGACCUCAA
Molecule: long non-coding RNA, 345 nt
Filed under: Mytilus galloprovincialis (Mediterranean mussel)
Lineage: Eukaryota; Metazoa; Mollusca; Bivalvia; Mytilida; Mytilidae
Source: RNAcentral